GGGGAAUACAGACCAAAAUACACCUGCUACCAGGAAGGGUGAAUACAGACCAAAAUACACCUGCGGCAAGACAAGCAUGCAUAGUGUCCAUAUAACGACAGUACCAUCUAAUACAUGACCACUUCUCACGCCAGGAUAUACACACUAUCACUACUUGCAUGUAUUUCAGACAAACGUUAACUAAAUACAUAAAUACAAAAAUGUGCAGUAUAUACAAAAGCCAUGUAAAUGAUCUCUAUU
Pelobates cultripes (western spadefoot toad) is the source of this 240-nucleotide non-coding RNA. The record is from the annotation of a GenBank genome assembly. NCBI's taxonomy places the organism in Eukaryota, Metazoa, Chordata, Amphibia, Anura, Pelobatidae.